RNAcentral lists this ribosomal RNA (432 nucleotides) under uncultured bacterium. RNAcentral's name for it is "partial 16S ribosomal RNA". It matches the Rfam family "Bacterial small subunit ribosomal RNA", at positions 29 to 507 of the family's 1533-position model. The record is from RNAcentral.
ACGAACGCUGGCGGCAUGCCUCACACAUGCAAGUCGAACGAGACCUUCGGGUCUAGUGCCGCACGGGUGCGUAACGCGUGGGAACCUGCCCUUAGGUUCGGAAUAACUCCCCGAAAGGGGUGCUAAUACCGGAUAAUGUCUUCGGACCAAAGAUUUAUCGCCUUUGGAUGGGCCCGCGUUGGAUUAGCUAGUUGGUAGGGUAAAAGCCUACCAAGGCGACGAUCCAUAGCUGGUCUGAGAGGAUGAUCAGCCACACUGGGACUGAGACACGGCCCAGACUCCUACGGGAGGCAGCAGUGGGGAAUAUUGGACAAUGGGCGAAAGCCUGAUCCAGCAAUGCCGCGUGAGUGAUGAAGGCCUUAGGGUUGUAAAGCUCUUUUACCCGGGAUGAUAAUGACAGUACCGGGAGAAUAAGCUCCGGCUAACUCCGUG